AUUGAACGCUGGCGGCAUGCCUUACACAUGCAAGUCGAACGGUAACGGGCCUUCGGGUGCCGCCGAGUGGCGAACGGGUGAGUAAUACAUCGGAACGUGCCCGAUCGUGGGGGGUAACGAGGCGAAAGCUUUGCUAAUACCGCAUACGAUCUACGGAUGAAAGCCGGGGACCGCAAGGCCUUGCGCGGACGGAGCGGCCGAUGGCAGAUUAGGUAGUUGGUGGGAUAAAAGCUUACCAAGCCGACGAUCUGUAGCUGGUCUGAGAGGAUGAUCAGCCACACUGGGACUGAGACACGGCCCAGACUCCUACGGGAGGCAGCAGUGGGGAAUUUUGGACAAUGGGCGCAAGCCUGAUCCAGCCAUGCCGCGUGCAGGAUGAAGGCCUUCGGGUUGUAAACUGCUUUUGUAAGGAACGAAAAGCCUUCUUUUAAUACAGGAGGGUCAUGACGGUACCGUAAGAAUAAGCACCGGCUAACUACGUG
This 482-nucleotide ribosomal RNA is filed under the name uncultured bacterium. RNAcentral describes it as "partial 16S ribosomal RNA". It matches the Rfam family "Bacterial small subunit ribosomal RNA", at positions 30 to 507 of the family's 1533-position model. The record is from RNAcentral.